Molecule: unclassified non-coding RNA, 209 nt
Filed under: Hevea brasiliensis (rubber tree)
Lineage: Eukaryota; Viridiplantae; Streptophyta; Magnoliopsida; Malpighiales; Euphorbiaceae
Source: RNAcentral
GGGGAAAGCAAAAGGGCCGGGCCCAACCCAUUUGUAAUGCCAUUUCUCCAGUAAUCACAUGCUACAAUACAUAAUACCCUAGUCACACCAGACAAAACUAAAGAUUAGAACUAUUAGGACUGGAUAGGGAAAUACAAAAAGGAAACUUAAUAUUUUCCAGAUCUAAACCUCAAUAGCAGAAAAACUAUAUUUUCUUAAUUCAGUUCUUC